GUAGAUCUUUACUGGUGCCUUUUGGCAAGGCAACUAUGAACCUCCAUAUGGUUUUCAUUUUGAAGUUAAUGAUGAUUCUCCAAUCAUCCAAGCUGAGGGAGUGGUUGAUAAUGAGGUGCAAUUACUUCUUCAGGGAGAGCUGCAAGGUUCUCAAAAGUCCAAGGGAGGGGCCCUUCACCAAAGAGGAGUUGGAUGAAAUUCGAGACAAGUGGGCUACUUACUUCAACGAUUGUGAAUUAGCCUCAGUGUAAUAAUUAGAGCAACGAUUGUAGUUAUCCGUGACUCUUACAUUAUUUUGUUAUUUAUCGAUUUAAUUCAUUACAUUUGAAUUAAUUCGGAAAUAUUAUCGGAAAUUUGAAAUUUAUAUCAUUUUUGAGGAAUGUCAA
Spinacia oleracea (spinach) is the source of this 386-nucleotide long non-coding RNA. RefSeq lists it as uncharacterized. The record is from RefSeq and is a predicted model, not a curated record. Lineage: Eukaryota; Viridiplantae; Streptophyta; Magnoliopsida; Caryophyllales; Amaranthaceae. The transcript has 3 exons.